CACUCCGGUGGCCUAUAGGGUUAGAGCGUCCGCUUCGGAUGCGGGUGGUCGUGGGUUCUAUCCCCGGUCGAGUCA
This is a non-coding RNA of Potamilus streckersoni, 75 nucleotides long. NCBI's taxonomy places the organism in Eukaryota, Metazoa, Mollusca, Bivalvia, Unionida, Unionidae. The record is from the annotation of a GenBank genome assembly.